UUUUCGGUAAUUAUAGCGGAAAGGAAACACCCGUUACCAUCCCGAACACGGCAGUUAAGUUUUCCAGCGCCGAUGGUACUGCAUAGGCAGCUAUGUGGGAGAGUAGGACAUUGCCGAAAAU
This 121-nucleotide ribosomal RNA is filed under the name Candidatus Magnetoglobus multicellularis. Lineage: Bacteria; Pseudomonadati; Thermodesulfobacteriota; Desulfobacteria; Desulfobacterales; Desulfobacteraceae. The record is from RNAcentral.